RNAcentral lists this ribosomal RNA (253 nucleotides) under uncultured bacterium. Its description in RNAcentral is "partial 16S ribosomal RNA". It matches the Rfam family "Bacterial small subunit ribosomal RNA", at positions 524 to 776 of the family's 1533-position model. The record is from RNAcentral.
UACAGAGGUCCCAAGCGUUGUUCGGAUUCAUUGGGCGUAAAGGGUGCGUAGGCGGCGCGGUAAGUCGGGUGUGAAAUCUCGGAGCUUAACUCCGAAACUGCAUUCGAUACUGCCAUGCUUGAGGACUGGAGAGGAGACUGGAAUUUACGGUGUAGCGGUGAAAUGCGUAGAUAUCGUAAGGAAGACCAGUGGCGAAGGCGGGUCUCUGGACAGUUCCUGACGCUGAGGCACGAAGGCCAGGGGAGCAAACGGG